GACAAUGCAACUGCUCAGGCAACCUUGCAACGAACCAAGGAAGUUACUUAUCAACUUGUCAGUGUGGUUGAUGGCAUAAUCAACAAUGUCUCCAAUAGAAAUUUCCCUCCUCAGGCAGGACCUUUAUAUUACAACCAAUCUGGUCCACUGAUGCCUGUUCUUUGCAACCCAUUUAAUUCUGAUAUCACAGAACGGCAAUGUGCUGCUGGCGAAGUGGACUUAAACAAUGCUACUGAGGCGUGGAAGAAUUAUAUCUGUCAAGAUCAAUCUGGUAUUUGCAAGACACCUGGACG
RNAcentral lists this unclassified non-coding RNA (293 nucleotides) under Hevea brasiliensis (rubber tree). Lineage: Eukaryota; Viridiplantae; Streptophyta; Magnoliopsida; Malpighiales; Euphorbiaceae. The record is from RNAcentral.